AGCAACCGCGGUAAUUCCAGCUCCAAUAGCGUAUAUUAAAGUUGUUGCAGUUAAAAGCUCGUAGUUGAAUUUCGGGGUUAGUAGGUUGGUCAUGCCUCUGGUAUGUACUGGUCUCACUGAUUCCUCCUUCCUGAUGAGCCGUAAUGCCAUUAAUUUGGUGUUGCGGGGAAUUUGGACUGUUACUUUGAAAAAAUUAGAGUGUUUAAAGCAAGCUAACGCUUGAAUACAUUAGCAUGGAAUAAUGAAAUAGGACGUUCGAUCCUAUUUUGUUGGUUUCUAGGAUUGACGUAAUGAUUAAUAGGGAUAGUUGGGGGCAUUAGUAUUCAAUUGUCAGAGGUGAAAUUCUUGGAUUUAUUGAAGACUAACUACUGCGAAAGCAUUUGCCAAGGAUGUUUUCAUUAAUCAAGAACGAAAGUUAGGGGAUCGAAGACGAUCAGAUACCGUCGUAGUCUUAACCAUAAACUAUGCCGACUAGGGAUCGGAUGAUGUUAAUUUUUUAAUGACUCA
Molecule: ribosomal RNA, 507 nt
Filed under: Glomus sp. MO-G3
Lineage: Eukaryota; Fungi; Glomeromycota; Glomeromycetes; Glomerales; Glomeraceae
Description: SSU rRNA
Rfam family: Eukaryotic small subunit ribosomal RNA
Source: RNAcentral